UACAGAGGGGGCAAGCGUUGUUCGGAAUUACUGGGCGUAAAGGGCGCGUAGGCGGCCCGCUAAGUCGAACGUGAAAUCCCCGAGCUCAACUCGGGAACUGCGUCCGAUACUGGUGGGCUUGAAUCCGGGAGAGGGAUGCGGAAUUCCAGGUGUAGCGGCGAAAUGCGUAGAUAUCUGGAGGAACACCGGUGGCGAAGGCGGCAUCCUGGACCGGCAUUGACGCUGAGGCGCGAAAGCUAGGGGAGCAAACGGG
This 253-nucleotide ribosomal RNA is filed under the name uncultured bacterium. Its description in RNAcentral is "partial 16S ribosomal RNA". It matches the Rfam family "Bacterial small subunit ribosomal RNA", at positions 524 to 776 of the family's 1533-position model. The record is from RNAcentral.